Molecule: non-coding RNA, 139 nt
Organism: Oryza brachyantha (malo sina)
Lineage: Eukaryota; Viridiplantae; Streptophyta; Magnoliopsida; Poales; Poaceae
Source: Rfam
CCACUAGAUGAUAAGGACUUGAUGUCUUAUAUCCUUGCUGGUCUGGAUGAUGAUUACGAACCAGUGGUCUCAUCACUAGUUGGGCGAACAGAAACAAUUACAUUCUCUGAAUUUUAUUCUCAACUAAUGAGUUUUGAAU